Molecule: ribosomal RNA, 496 nt
Filed under: uncultured bacterium
Lineage: Bacteria
Description: partial 16S ribosomal RNA
Rfam family: Bacterial small subunit ribosomal RNA
Source: RNAcentral
ACUCAAAUGAAUUGACGGGGGCCCGCACAAGUAGCGGAGCAUGUGGUUUAAUUCGAAGCAACGCGAAGAACCUUACCUAGACUUGACAUCUUCUGCAUUACCCUUAAUCGGGGAAGUUCCUUCGGGAACAGAAUGACAGGUGGUGCAUGGUUGUCGUCAGCUCGUGUCGUGAGAUGUUGGGUUAAGUCCCGCAACGAGCGCAACCCCUAUUGUUAGUUGCUACCAUUAAGUUGAGCACUCUAGCGAGACUGCCCGGGUUAACCGGGAGGAAGGUGGGGAUGACGUCAAAUCAUCAUGCCCCUUAUGUCUAGGGCUACACACGUGCUACAAUGGCAAGUACAGAGAGAUGCAAUACCGUGAGGUGGAGCUAAACUUCAAAACUUGUCUCAGUUCGGAUUGUAGGCUGAAACUCGCCUACAUGAAGCUGGAGUUACUAGUAAUCGCGAAUCAGCAUGUCGCGGUGAAUACGUUCCCGGGCCUUGUACACACCGCCCGU